Molecule: non-coding RNA, 85 nt
Filed under: uncultured Coprococcus sp.
Lineage: Bacteria; Bacillati; Bacillota; Clostridia; Lachnospirales; Lachnospiraceae
Description: Glycine riboswitch
Rfam family: Glycine riboswitch aptamer
About the family: This family represents the bacterial glycine riboswitch. Glycine riboswitches usually consist of two metabolite-binding aptamers domains with similar structures in tandem.
Source: RNAcentral
ACAUUCUGGAGAAGUCCACAGGUAUGUGGGUGCCGAAGGUGUAAAACGCAUAUGCGUCAAUCUCUCAGGCGAAAGGACAGAAUUU